This 228-nucleotide ribosomal RNA is filed under the name uncultured bacterium. RNAcentral describes it as "partial 16S ribosomal RNA". It matches the Rfam family "Bacterial small subunit ribosomal RNA", at positions 1273 to 1500 of the family's 1533-position model. The record is from RNAcentral.
CUCUAAAAAACAANCUCAGUUCAGAUUGCAGGCUGCAACUCGCCUGCAUGAAGUCGGAAUUGCUAGUAAUCGUAGGUCAGCAUACUACGGUGAAUACGUUCCCGGGCCUUGUACACACCGCCCGUCAAACCAUGAGGGUUGGCAACACCCGAAGUCGGUAGUCUAACCGCAAGGAGGACGCCGCCGAAGGUGGGGUUGAUGAUUAGGGUUAAGUCGUAACAAGGUAAC